UAAAUAAAUGUUGAAGACCCAUUUUAUGGCAUAAGAAUGCAUUGUGUACCAGACGGAUAAGCAGAAAAACAGGAA
Long non-coding RNA from Sander lucioperca (pikeperch), 75 nucleotides. RefSeq lists it as uncharacterized. NCBI's taxonomy places the organism in Eukaryota, Metazoa, Chordata, Actinopteri, Perciformes, Percidae. The transcript has 3 exons. The record is from RefSeq and is a predicted model, not a curated record.